This 253-nucleotide ribosomal RNA is filed under the name uncultured bacterium. RNAcentral's name for it is "partial 16S ribosomal RNA". It matches the Rfam family "Bacterial small subunit ribosomal RNA", at positions 524 to 776 of the family's 1533-position model. The record is from RNAcentral.
UACAGAGGUCUCGAGCGUUAGGCGGAAUCACUGGGCUUAAAGCGUGUGUAGGCGGAUCGGUAAGUACCUUGUGAAAUCCCACAGCUUAACUGUGGAACUGCUUGGUAUACUGCCAGUCUUGAGCCAGCUAGGGGCUACCGGAACAAAUGGUGGAGCGGUGAAAUGCGUAGAUAUCUGGAGGAACACCGGAGGCGAAAGCGGUCCACUGGGCAACUUCUGACGCUGAGGUGCGAAAGCUAGGGUAGCAAACGGG